CCUACGGGAGGCAGCAGUGAGGAAUAUUGGUCAAUGGACGCAAGUCUGAACCAGCCAUGCCGCGUGCAGGAAGACGGCCCUAUGAGUUGUAAACUGCUUUUGUACGAGGGUAAACUCAGAUACGCGUAUCUGUCUGCAAGUACCGUACGAAUAAGGAUCGGCUAACUCCGUGCCAGCAGCCGCGGUAAUACGGAGGAUUCAAGCGUUAUCCGGAUUUAUUGGGUUUAAAGGGUGCGUAGGCGGUCGGAUAAGUUAGAGGUGAAAUCCCGAGGCUCAACUUCGGAGUUGCAGCUGAUACUGUUGGGCUAGAGAGUAGUUGCGGUAGGCGGAAUGUAUGGUGUAGCGGUGAAAUGCUUAGAGAUCAUGCAGAACACCGAUUGCGAAGGCAGCUUACCAAGCUACGUCUGACGUUGAGGCACGAAAGCGUGGGGAGCAAACAGGAUUAGAUACCCCUGUAGUC
RNAcentral lists this ribosomal RNA (460 nucleotides) under uncultured bacterium. RNAcentral's name for it is "partial 16S ribosomal RNA". It matches the Rfam family "Bacterial small subunit ribosomal RNA", at positions 338 to 795 of the family's 1533-position model. The record is from RNAcentral.